UCUUCUUUUGUUCCGACAAUAUGGACGACCAGCGUGCGAUCUUGAAUACAAAAAUGGUCGAUUUGUCAUCGACAGUAUUUUCAAUGAGAAAUAUGACCAAGUGGGAAGAUAAUUUUUGAAAACAUUAAGAUUCUCUGGACUAGAGUGGAAUGUCAUGGCCUUUUUGUGUUUUCAUUUGCAUACAAUCAAGAUCUCGCCUUAAUCCUAGCCUGCAAAUGCUGAUCACCUUUGUUGUGGAUCAUAAGCUAAAGCAGCUACAGAUAUUAUAGUCAACACAAACAUGGCAAUAUGAAAGCACAAUGUAAACACACUCUCAAGGUUUAUAUUCAAAACGAGAAGGAGUAGUUGACAGAAUUCCAGGAGAGAAUCUAAUCUUCCCACAGAGCGAAAGCUGUCCCAACAAGAACUUCUUUUCGAUUGGAAGA
Molecule: long non-coding RNA, 425 nt
Organism: Daphnia pulicaria
Lineage: Eukaryota; Metazoa; Arthropoda; Branchiopoda; Diplostraca; Daphniidae
Exons: 2
Source: RefSeq, a predicted model, not a curated record